ACGCUCGACACCUACGGGAGGCAGCAGUGAGGGAUAUUGGUCAAUGGGGGAAACCCUGAACCAGCAACGCCGCGUGAGGGAUGACGGCCUUGGUUGUAACCUCUGUCCUCUGUGAAGAUAAUGACGGUAGCAGAGGAGGAAGCUCCGGCUAACUACGUGCCAGUAGCCGCGGUAAUCUGAGCGGGCGUGGCAAGGC
This 196-nucleotide ribosomal RNA is filed under the name uncultured bacterium. RNAcentral's name for it is "partial 16S ribosomal RNA". It matches the Rfam family "Bacterial small subunit ribosomal RNA", at positions 328 to 538 of the family's 1533-position model. The record is from RNAcentral.